CCUUCGGUAGCUCAGCGGUAGAGCGGAGGACUGUAGAUCCUUAGGUCGCUGGUUCAAAUCCGGCUCGAAGGA
Molecule: transfer RNA, 72 nt
Filed under: Takifugu rubripes (torafugu)
Lineage: Eukaryota; Metazoa; Chordata; Actinopteri; Tetraodontiformes; Tetraodontidae
Description: tRNA-Tyr (GTA) (tRNA-Tyr-GTA-5-1)
Rfam family: tRNA
About the family: Transfer RNA (tRNA) molecules are approximately 80 nucleotides in length. Their secondary structure includes four short double-helical elements and three loops (D, anti-codon, and T loops). Further hydrogen bonds mediate the characteristic L-shaped molecular structure. tRNAs have two regions of fundamental functional importance: the anti-codon, which is responsible for specific mRNA codon recognition, and the 3' end, to which the tRNAs corresponding amino acid is attached (by aminoacyl-tRNA synthetases). tRNAs cope with the degeneracy of the genetic code in two manners: having more than one tRNA (with a specific anti-codon) for a particular amino acid; and 'wobble' base-pairing, i.e. permitting non-standard base-pairing at the 3rd anti-codon position.
Source: RNAcentral